CAAUGCUCUUAUCAGAACUAAAUUGUCUGACUGGAGUUGGAGACUUCGUGUGCUUAGAAAAUCUAGAGUUUCUACUAGAGCUCUCGCUUCUGCCUGAGCUGCUGAAGUUACACAUACAGAAUCCGUCCACCAAUUGCAACGUUGCAAUCACGGCACACAGCUAAUCGCUCCUUCCGUCGAGCCCUCUGCGAAGGAUCAGAUCUGAGGAGAUGCCAUGGAUUUGGAGUUUGCUUGCGAAAGGUAGAAUUGUUUCUGGAUUUCCAUAUAUGCCUAAGAGUCAACUGCUAAAAGCUCAAAGGUCGCCGUGGUACUCUUGAAAUUCAACAGCCAUUCUUUAAUUUUAACGAGCACGUCAUUAUCGAUGAGGAUCUGGAGGGUGGGGUCUAACCAAACUUGGCAUGCUCAAGGGUAUAACAAGAAUAUAUCCUCCACAGCCUCCGGUUGUCGACUGCGCAGCUCACAUGUAUCCUCUUCGGUGAUUCUCUUCCUUAAUAAGUUUGCUUUUGUUGGUAAUGCAUCCUGGCAUAUAUUCCAUAAGAAGAGCUUGAUUUUUGGGUUGGUAUUGGCCCUCCAAAUCUUUGUCCAUAGGCUUCGAGGGGUCUGAUAAAAGGAUCGGCACUGCUUUUCGUUUUUCUCCCUGCAUUUGUUAUACCCACUUUUCACUGAAUAUACUCUAGACUUUGUGUUUGUCUAGACCAAUUUGUCCUCCUGUUCAUGUGUAUUCAAUGGAAUUCCUAGGAUUUCAUUUUUC
Molecule: long non-coding RNA, 751 nt
Organism: Syzygium oleosum
Lineage: Eukaryota; Viridiplantae; Streptophyta; Magnoliopsida; Myrtales; Myrtaceae
Exons: 2
Source: RefSeq, a predicted model, not a curated record